ACAAGACGGUGGAGCAUGUGGUUUAAUUCGAAGCAACGCGAAGAACCUUACCAGGCCUUGACAUGCAGAGAACUUUCCAGAGAUGGAUUGGUGCCUUCGGGAACUCUGACACAGGUGCUGCAUGGCUGUCGUCGGCUCGUGUCGUGAGAUGUUGGGUUAAGUCCCGUAACGAGCGCAACCCUUGUCCUUAGUUACCAGCACGUUAUGGUGGGCACUCUAAGGAGACUGCCGGUGACAAACCGGAGGAAGGUGGGGAUGACGUCAAGUCAUCAUGGCCCUUACGGCCUGGGCUACACACGUGCUACAAUGGUCGGUACAAAGGGUUGCCAAGCCGCGAGGUGGAGCUAAUCCCAUAAAACCGAUCGUAGUCCGGAUCGCAGUCUGCAACUCGACUGCGUGAAGUUGGAAUCGCUAGUAAUCGUGAAUCAGAAUGUCACGGUGAAUACGUUCCCGGGCCUU
RNAcentral lists this ribosomal RNA (459 nucleotides) under uncultured Pseudomonas sp. Its description in RNAcentral is "bacterial SSU rRNA". It matches the Rfam family "Bacterial small subunit ribosomal RNA", at positions 925 to 1382 of the family's 1533-position model. The record is from RNAcentral. Lineage: Bacteria; Pseudomonadati; Pseudomonadota; Gammaproteobacteria; Pseudomonadales; Pseudomonadaceae.